RNAcentral lists this ribosomal RNA (251 nucleotides) under uncultured bacterium. Its description in RNAcentral is "partial 16S ribosomal RNA". It matches the Rfam family "Bacterial small subunit ribosomal RNA", at positions 524 to 776 of the family's 1533-position model. The record is from RNAcentral.
UACGAAGGAUGCGAGCGUUAUCCGGAUUUAUUGGGUUUAAAGGGUGCGUAGGCGGCCUUAUAAGUCAGUGGUGAAAUCCUAUCGCUUAACGAUAGACGUGCCAUUGAUACUGUAGGGCUUGAGUACAGAUGCCGUUGGCGGAAUGUGUCAUGUAGCGGUGAAAUGCAUAGAUAUGACACAGAACACCAUUGCGAAGGCAGCUGACGAAACUGUAACUGACGCUGAUGCACGAAAGCGUGGGAUCAAACAGG